AAAACGACUCUCGGCAACGGAUAUCUCGGCUCUCGCAUCGAUGAAGAACGUAGCGAAAUGCGAUACUUGGUGUGAACUGCAGAAUCCCGUGAACCAUCGAGUCUUUGAACGCAAGUUGCGCCCUAAGCCUUCUGGCCGAGGGCACGUCUGCCUGGGUGUCACAA
Molecule: ribosomal RNA, 164 nt
Filed under: Alyssum montanum
Lineage: Eukaryota; Viridiplantae; Streptophyta; Magnoliopsida; Brassicales; Brassicaceae
Description: 5.8S ribosomal RNA
Rfam family: 5.8S ribosomal RNA
About the family: 5.8S ribosomal RNA (5.8S rRNA) is a component of the large subunit of the eukaryotic ribosome.
Source: RNAcentral